This 2196-nucleotide long non-coding RNA is filed under the name Theobroma cacao (cacao). RNAcentral's name for it is "long non-coding RNA (TCAC_LNC001886)". The record is from RNAcentral. Lineage: Eukaryota; Viridiplantae; Streptophyta; Magnoliopsida; Malvales; Malvaceae.
UUGUCUUCUUUUUCUUCUUCUCUCUCACGUUUCUUCAAAACCUCCAUGGAAGCUUGAUAUGUAGCUUGCAAAAUUUUCUCUCUCUAGCUCUAGUUUUCAUAUUUUUGAGCCCUUUUGACUAGAACCCUAGUAUUCUUUCACUCUCUCACUUCAAAACCCUUGGUAAAGCUUAUUUCCAUACUUUCUCUCACUAGUUGGGCAUUUUAGAGAGAGAAAAAGAGAAUUACCCCAUUGAUUUGAAAGCAAUUAGAAGAGAAUUUGACUACAAAGGAGCCCUAGGGUAAGUGAUGAAUUAAGCUUGGUUUUUAGCUGUGAAUAAUGGCUGGUAAUUGGGAGUAUGAGCUGUUUUAUUGUUGAGUAUGUUCAUUACUUUUUAGUGAUUAAGAUAGUGAACAUAGAUAGCCAUUUAAUGUGGCAAUUGAAAGUUAGUUAAGAGAUAGCUUUUAGGGUUCAUAGUGUGUGAAUUGACCUAUUGCUUAUGCUAAUGUGAUCCUAGGUUUUAAGGAAGCCCCAUCAUCUCAUUUGAACAAUUAGGGGAAUUGGAGUCAUCUAAAGGCUCUACAAUCAAUCGGUGAGUGGACUGCCUAUCAAAAUUGUUUUGGGAAUAUGAUUAUUUUGUACAAAGUGUUUGAAUAAUUUUAUACAACUUUUAUCAAAAAUGAAUGCCUUAGGAACAAGCUCUUGAGAAAUGGUUUAUGUUAUGAUAUGUGGUUAUUAUGGAUUUUUAUGUGGCUGCAUUAUGUUGAUAUACAUAUAUGUUUGAAUAUAGUGUUGUGUAAUUAUAUUGACUCAGCUAUAUGCGAGUAGGGAGUGCGCAUAAGCCGAGGAUGACCCUGUUAUGUGCGAGUAGAGAGUGCGCAUAACCCGGUGAUGACCCAGCCAUGUGCGAGUAGGGAGUACGCAUGAGCUGGUGAUGAUGAUGAUGGGAUGGUGUGAUGAUGAUGAUGGGUAUAUACGUAUACAUAUAUACAUAUGUAAAUAUGUGUGUUAUAUGAAAUUAAUGGAUAAUGGUUUAUGGUUGUAAUGCAUGAGAAACUUGACAUGUUAAACCUUGGGAAAUUGUUAUGUGUUUCAUGUCGGUUUGGACAUUUCAGCAUGGUGGUUUUUCCUUUGGAAGAAGGGCAAAUUUUGCAUUGGUGCCCUGUUUCUUGUGCAGCGAAAAUCAUUCUCGCUGUAGCGAGAAACUCUCGGGUUUUGGAGGGGUAGGCUGGCCGAAAACUCGCUGCAGCGAGGAUGCAUUUUCGCUGCAGCGAAAUUCAUUCUUGCUGCAGUGAGAAACUUUUUGUUUUAGGGUUACAAUUUCACUACAACGAGAUUCAGCGAGAAACAUUCUGUUUCUGGGUCACAAUUUCACUGCAGCAAGAUUGAAUCUCGCUGUAGCGAAAAACCUUCUGUUUUUGUCUCCUAUCUUGUCCAACUGCUGCCCUAUUUUUCACUUCUUUGCUACCAUAUUGGAGCAUGGACUUCCAACAUUAAGGACUAAAUGAGUUAAGUUUAAAAUGAAGAGGUUUAGUGAGAAAUCCUAGGCCAGUUGAGAAAUCCUCGUUUGGCUAAUAACUUAAUCCCAACGUCACUGCAACGAAAAUUCAUUCUCGCUGCAGCUACGCUGCAGCGAGAAUGCCUUUUCACUGUAGCGAAGAUUCGUCAUCGUAUUUGACUUGCUUGCGUAUUAUUAAAGCUUUCAUUCUUCAAAUGGUUCGUUAUGUAUGGGUUCAUGAUUUUCAAAUGAUUAAUCAUUUAAGGGCUUGAUGAGGGGUUUUUAAUAAGAACAAAAACAAAAUUGCAUUGUUUUGAAAAAGAAUGCAUCAUGAUUUCGUUAAAGAUUCCUUAUGGUAUGCUUGUUCCCUUCCUUGUUCACUCAAUGGGUUUAUACUCACUGUUUUUAACUUCAUGUUUUCAGAUCACGAGGCAGCUGAUAAUUAGGAUGAGGUGUUCUUGUAGACUUGUAACCAUCUUUUGGUAGGUGUCUCGGCAUUCAGUAGCUGUACAUUCGUUCGAGUCCUUCCGUUGGAAGUCGAGUAUUAUUUUGUUGUGUAUAGACAAACCUAAUGUAAAUUAUCAAGAUACAUGUUGUAGGCAAUGUACACUUAAUUGGUAUGCCAGUAUGAGUUGGCAAAUGUUUAAUUUUAUUUUGAUUCUAAGUUAUGAAAUAUGACUUCGUAGUUAUGAUGGAAUGAUGAACACGUUAGAUUAAUA